Molecule: long non-coding RNA, 775 nt
Organism: Ochotona princeps (American pika)
Lineage: Eukaryota; Metazoa; Chordata; Mammalia; Lagomorpha; Ochotonidae
Exons: 3
Source: RefSeq, a predicted model, not a curated record
AGAACUAUGGAGGCUGCAUCUAUACGGGAUACUCCCACAAAGUGCCAGCACUGAGGCCAGGAGAGGUCACACACAAAGAGAAGCUAAAGGGAGGUGGUGGACAUCGGUACUAACAACGUAAAGAUGCCCCUGAAGUCCCAGACCUGCCAUCUUGGAUUUACAAAUCAGGAUGAUAGUCAAAGAAGUCUGCAAAGCAGGAACCACCAAGGUGCACAGAGCUCUGGGAGCUGAGGAUGCUUCUGAACCCAGAUAUCUUGAGUGGAUCUGUGAGCAUGGUUUUAUUCUACAGUUCAAUGAUUUUUUAUUCUGGAUAAAGCCCAUGAUUACUGACAAGAGUCUUGAAAAACUGAAAAAACAUAACAAACUGAAAGUGAUGGCUCCAGUGGCAGAAAACAACUCAUGCAAAGUCAUCCAGCACAACUAAUGGAAGACAGAACUACUGUCUUCUGAGUGGACACAACCCCAUAGAAGCAAAUCAGCAGUGUUAAAGGCUCUCUAAUCUGCUUGAAACAGGCAAACUUCUUUUUCUAGAUCAAGCACAAGUAAUGCUGCAUUAACAUUAUAUCUUACUUGAUUAACCUCAAGCAUAAUAUAUCAUUUGUAAAUUGGAAAAUCAAGUGUUUGGAGUCAAGGAAACUCUGCUACCCUCUAAAUGUAUUCAAGCUACAUACUGAUGUAAUUACCUACAACUUUUAUACAAACAAAUAGCAUUUUUAGAAAUGGAAUUCACAUCAGCUACCCCAACAGGGAACUCAUGAAACACAGUUUAGCAGGC